RNAcentral lists this ribosomal RNA (406 nucleotides) under uncultured bacterium. RNAcentral describes it as "partial 16S ribosomal RNA". It matches the Rfam family "Bacterial small subunit ribosomal RNA", at positions 30 to 526 of the family's 1533-position model. The record is from RNAcentral.
AUUGAACGCUGGCGGCAGGCCUAACACAUGCAAGUCGAACGAGUGGCGGACGGGUGAGUCAUGUCUGGGAAACUGCCUGAUGGAGGGGGAUAACUACUGGAAACGGUAGCUAAUACCGCAUACCAUCAGAUGUGCCCAGAUGUGAUUAGCCAGUUGGUGGGGUAACGGCUCACCAAGGCGACGAUCACUAGCUGGUCUGAGAGGAUGACCAGCAAAACUGGAACUGAGACACGGUCCAGACUCCUACGGGAGUCAGCAGUGGGGAAUAUUGCACAAGGGGCGCAAGCCGUAUGCAGCAAUGCCGGUUGUAUGAAGAAGGCCUUCGGGUUGUAAAGUACUUUCAGCGGGGAGGCGUUACCCGAAGAAGAAGCACCGGCUAACUCCGUGCCAGCAGCCGCGGUAAUAC